CAUAUCUCUCUCACUGAAAGAACUAAAAAUAUCAACAUUAAAUGCAUGUUAGGAAAAGAUAUGGCCAGCAUCAGUUCAAACAGUGCUCGAAUCAGCAGAAAAUGAUCAAAUGAGUGGUAUAUUAAAACUUGCAAACUCAGUUGGAGGGGAAGGUUUUGUGGAUAUGGCUAUUGAAGAUAUUCAAGAUUUAUUAGUGGAAGAAGAAGUUGACGAAGUGGAUCUGGUUGAAAUGGCAUCUGAAAUAAAUCAAAUCGAUUCUGAGGAUAACAGUACUGAUGAAGAUUGUAAAUUUAAUAAUUUAACACUAAAAAAAUUGCAGGAAGGUCUAAAGUUAGUCAAACAGCU
Molecule: long non-coding RNA, 345 nt
Filed under: Androctonus crassicauda
Lineage: Eukaryota; Metazoa; Arthropoda; Arachnida; Scorpiones; Buthidae
Source: RNAcentral